AUGCAUAGGAAUCUACCUAGUAGUAUGGGAUAGCCACUGGAAAUGGUGGGUAAUACCGUAUAAUCCCUGCGGGGGAAAGAUUUAUCGCUAUUAGAUGAGCCUAUGUCGGAUUAGCUAGUUGGUGGGGUAAUGGCCUACCAAGGCAGUGAUCUGUAUCUGGUCUGAGAGGAUGAUCAGCCACACUGGAACUGAGACACGGUCCAGACUCCUACGGGAGGCAGCAGUGGGGAAUAUUGGACAAUGGGCGCAAGCCUGAUCCAGCUAUGCCGCGUGAGUGAGGAAGGCCUUAGGGUUGUAAAACUCUUUCAGUAGGGAAGAUAAUGACGGUACCUA
RNAcentral lists this ribosomal RNA (333 nucleotides) under Anaplasma phagocytophilum. RNAcentral's name for it is "bacterial SSU rRNA". It matches the Rfam family "Bacterial small subunit ribosomal RNA", at positions 113 to 481 of the family's 1533-position model. The record is from RNAcentral. Lineage: Bacteria; Pseudomonadati; Pseudomonadota; Alphaproteobacteria; Rickettsiales; Anaplasmataceae.